AUAACGUGGUUUCCUAUGGAGAUGCGUUACCCACAGCGCUAUAGGAAACAGCGCUAUAGGAGGUCGCUAUAACGUGGUUUCCUGCGGAGAUGCGUUACCCACAGCGCUAUAGGAAACAGCGCUAUGGGAGGUCGCUAUAACGUGGUUUCCUAUGGAGAUGUGUUACCCUACAGCGCUAUAGGAAACAGCGCUAUAGGAGGUCGCUAUAACGUGGUUUCCUGUGGAGAUGCGUUACCUUACAGCGCUAUAGGAAACAGCGCUAUAGGAGGUCGCUCUAACGUGGUUUCCUGUGUAGAUGCGUUACCCACAGCGCUAUAGGAAACAGCGCUAUAGGAGGUCGCUAUAACGUGGUUUCCUAUGGAGAUGCGUUACCAACAGCGCUAUAGGAAACAGCGCUAUAUGAGGUCGCUAUAACGUGGUUUCCUGUGGAGAUGCGUUACCCACAGCGCUAUAGGAAACAGCGCUAUAGGAGGUCGCUAUAACGUGGUUUCCUGUGGAGAUGCGUUACC
Non-coding RNA from Petromyzon marinus (sea lamprey), 509 nucleotides. The record is from RefSeq and is a predicted model, not a curated record. Lineage: Eukaryota; Metazoa; Chordata; Hyperoartia; Petromyzontiformes; Petromyzontidae.